RNAcentral lists this long non-coding RNA (784 nucleotides) under Phasianus colchicus (ring-necked pheasant). RNAcentral's name for it is "lncRNA (ENSPCLG00000020125.1)". The record is from RNAcentral. Lineage: Eukaryota; Metazoa; Chordata; Aves; Galliformes; Phasianidae.
GGAUUUGGGGUCAUUUGGGGGGUGAGUCAUUGUGGGGAGAAUUUGGGGGAUUUGGGGUCAUUUUGGGGAAAUUUGGGUGGUUUUUGUGGGAUUUUGGGUCAUUUGGGGGCAGAUUUGGGGUCAUUUUUGGGUUUUUGGCUCACUUCUAUGGGAUUUUGGCUCACUUUUGAGUCGUUUUGUGGGAUUUUCAGUCGUUUUGUGGGAUUUUGUGUCCUUUUGUGGGAUCGUGGCUCACAUUUAUGGGAUUUUGGCUCACUUCUAUGUGAUUUUGGCUCACUUUUAUGGGAUUUUGUGUCAUUUUAUGGGAUUUCAGCUCACUUCUGUGGGAUUUUGGCUCACUUCUAUGGGAUUGUGGCUCACUUUUGUGGGAUUUUGGCUCACUUCUAUGGGAUUUUGGCUCACUUUUGUGGGAUUUUGGGAUCAUUUUGUGGGAUUUUGGCUCACUUUUGUGGGAUUUUGGCUCACUUUUAUGGGAUUUUGGCUCACUUUUAUGGGAUUUUGGCUCACUUUUGUGGGAUUUCAGCUCAUUUUUAUGGGAUUUCAGCUCACUUCUAUGGGAUUUUGUGUCAUUUUAUGGGAUUUUGGCUCACUUUUGUGGGAUUUCAGCUCAUUUUUAUGGGAUUUCGGCUCACUUUUGUGGGAUUUUGCUUCCUUCCCCCCAAAAAACCCUACAGAACCUAUAGGGCAUCCAACAUGAAGACCCCUGGGGAGCAGUCGGUGCCUGCCCUCAAUUUGCAGAACGCUUUUAGGAUCAUCAAGGAGGUCCAAAAACGUUACAAGACGC